Salmo salar (Atlantic salmon) is the source of this 6815-nucleotide non-coding RNA. Lineage: Eukaryota; Metazoa; Chordata; Actinopteri; Salmoniformes; Salmonidae. The record is from RefSeq and is a predicted model, not a curated record.
UCGUGUAUAACUACCACCCGCAACCCCCUUCCAACUCCAAACUCUUUAUUGAUGCCGUUUUACUGUGCUGCGUUGGUUAACGGUUCGGUUUCGUCAAAAUUUAUUUUUCCUGAAUCUCUUAUUAGGUUACUUUAAUUUUAGAACUGACGAAUGAUAGCUAAGACUAAUAUGUAACAGGUCUCGUGUGACGAAUGUAGUAUGGAAGUAGUUUAAAUUGAUCAGAUAAAGUAGCUAUCUUACGUUACCUGCUAGCUUGUCUUUCGACGCCUACAUGAUUUGUUGCCUCAGCUUUUUUUUUUGCGAUUGUUGCUUUUACUCGAGUACUGAAUUGCUUACGAUUCGUAUGCAAUAAGAUUAACAUUAUAGCUAUAAGAAACGAUCAAGCUGACGUGUCCAUUAUGAAAGCCACAACAAGGUUAUCGUUAGGUGGCAGGGUAUUGUUAUUAUCAUCGUCAGUUACGUAGUUUAACACAAAAGAAUGCUUAUUUCAGCUGAGUUGGCAUCUCUACGCUAAGUAACAGCGAAAAUGUCACAUUUGUUAAUAACUACGGUACCUAGUCAAGAAGGCUUUACCAAACAAAAUGCGCGUGUUGUGGCGCAGUUGUAGGCCUGAUAAAAAAAAUCGCGGCGUGUCACGAUGUAGUGGAGAAAUGGCUGCCCGGGUGAUUCAGUACUGGUGCAGCUAUCUGAAGUUAAAAAAAAAAUGAAGAUCAUGAAAGAAUCAGGUUGUAUAAGUGUCAUUGAAAGAACCAAGUUACAAGACCAGAACCUUAUGAAAGGAGUGAAGCCGUUCGAAUAGCCAGCUAAAUAUUUGAAUAGAAGUUGAGCGUAGGUCCCACACAUCCGAGGCAGUAUAGCUACUUCGAUGCGUAUAGUAUUUUGUUAACCUAAAAUGAAGACUAGUUUACAAGAGGAGAAUUUUGAAUCCUUGGGAAUGGGCAGUAAAAUAUACCACUUACAAGACGAGCAUCAUAUGAAGAAAUGAGAAUGGCUAGCUAAAUAUUUGAAGAUCAAGUUGAACGUAUGUCCCUUAAACUGCCUCGGAUAUAUCUACUUCAAUGCGUUAGAAGUGUUUAUUUUAGUUGGUUGCGCAUCAGGAAAUACAAUUUAUAGUGGGUAAGGAACCAAGGAAAAAUGACUUUGGUUUUAUGUAAACUGAAUAAGUGCUGGUAGUUUGUCUCAUCAGUGUAGGCAACAUGUGAAAUAACCAAGUUACUGAUCUUGAACCAUAUGAGAAGUUGUGAAGCCUCUUGAAUAGCCAACUGCAUAUUGGAAGUUGGGCUGCAGUUGCUUUUGAGUAAUUUUUAUAUAUUUUUGUAGCCUGAAGUGAAGUACAAUAUGUGCUUAAGUUGUGAGACCUUACUUCAAUAGCAAACUAAAUAUUGGAAGAUAAUUUAGGCCAACAGUGGCUGUUUGUCAGUCAUUUAAGCUGCUUCAAGAAGUAAAAAUGUUUUGAGCCUAAAAUGAACAAGAUGUGCUGCGGAUUUCAUUUCCAAGUACAGCAGUUGCUUUGAUAGCACUAGCGGUAGUUCAAGGAGUUGCAGGCUAGUGACGUUGCUUUGUCACGCUUCAGAUCUGAUAAACUUUUUCUAAACACAAUUGGCUCUAGUUGGUGAAGAAAAGAAGAUUUUUCUGUAGAAGAAUGGACUGAGUUUGAGUUUUUUUUUAAAGUGCUGUGGGGGCACUUAGCUAGUAGGCAGUUUGUGAUCAGACGAGGAAGGACGACUUCAGGAUCAGGCAAGGACCAGGCAGAGGGAAUCUGGGCGGACCAGGCAGAGGGAAUCUGGGCGGACCAGGCAGAGGGAAUCUGGGCGGACCAGGCAGAGGGAAUCUGGGAGGACCAGCGGGGAGCCAGGCAGGAUCCAGGUGGAUCGCGGGAGGAGCAGAUGGGAACCAGUUGAGCGAGCGGAAUGCAGCAGAGUUUUCAUCAAAGGGAGCGAGCCAGGUGGCAGGGUAGCGAGCAUCCCAGAGUGAGCUGAGAGCGGAGCAGUCCCAGGUCGAGUGUUGCCCUAAAGCAGCCAGUGGGUCCCAGCAGCAAUGAGGUGACGAGUAAAAGGGCCAACUAGCUUCGCAAGUGACAAGUGUUUGUAUGAUGGGUAGCGGUAUACAGUAAUGUUUAACUAGGCCAAAAAUCUUUGAAAUUAGUCAAUGUUAAAUCUGUCAACACAUUUGCUCGCGAAGUUUUCUUCCUCUUUCAGGCAAUGGUAAAGUGUUAAUUUUCCUGGUUGCGGCCCUUUCCUGUGUGAUGUCUGCUGUGAUGAGUCCCCCUUGGCCUACUUGGUAGAGUGCACUGGCGAGAGGACUGUCUUAAAGGAUUUCACCCUCCUGCAGCGCAGAUGUAGUACCCCCCCUGGGCGGAGGCGUUUCUUCUUCAUUGAGUUCAAUAGGUCUACCCCCGAGAAGUGGUCUACAUGGGAGUGUUGAGAGUCGAAAUUCUUCUGUACGUUCGUACCACAACGCAGCUUUGGUGCUGAGCAGCUACAUCUGCUGGUUAAAGUGAGCAGUGAGUUUAAAUGCAUGAGAUGAUCUUGUGGGGAGUAACUAUUCCCCUCAAUAAAUAUUGAUAUCAAAUUUCUAUUUGCCUUUGUAAUGGUAACUGAAAGGGAUUAUCCCUGCAUUUAAUUUGUAGUAUUGGUUAAACUGUGGUGCAUUUGUGGAUGGUGGGGGGGAGACUUUUUCCGAGUUCUUCUUUUCACAGGCUCGCACCUUAAAGCAAACCUGACCAUCCAAGGGAGUCCCUCUUUAGUACUGCCCGCCACAUUAAUCAAAACGGUUGAGCACGUCCCGUAACAGAUAAUUCUAAGGAUGGAUCAAGGGAAACCUCUGGUGUUAAAAUCAUGUAGGAAGGUAUUUUGUGCUGGUUUUCUGUAGUGAGUUGAUCAUUUGCAUAUACUGUUUUUCUUCCAAUAUGUUGUAGGGAUACACACUUGAGUUCUGGGAGGGUUGUGGGGGUGUUAAUCAAAUAUUUUCCUAGAAUUUCUUUUCACACAGCUUCGUGUAAAGCAGCGUUUUAAAGAUCCAAAUGGCUAGCGUUGAGGUUUGAGGAGCAAGGAAUCAACCCGGUGGUCCACAUCUUUCAGGUUUCCUUUUGCCUUGUGGUGUGGAUAUUCCUUGGUGUCUACAAUGGUGUAGCAGGAGGCGGGCCACAUUUUGGGAUGUGAACUUGCGGUGUUCUCCCAGGGAGUGUGGUAACCCUUAACUUUUAGGCUGAUGCAUUUUAUAUCCUGGAGUUGAAAUUUGCAUUUGGUUUCUGGGGUCAGGGGAGAGCUUAACUGUGACUCUUCCAGAUUAUGACCCACCCCUCAAUGAAAGAAACUGGAGAUCUACAUCUCCCUCGUCUUAAGGAGAACAGCUGAUGCCUUGAGGCCAGUGGUAUUUAACUGUUUCUUGUGGAAAGUUAUUGAUUUGGUGUUAGUGAAUUUGUGUUAAUUGUAUUUUAGCAACUGUUAAUACAAUUUUGAUAGUGGGUUGGUUACUGUCUGGGUUUGUAUGGGUGGGAAUGGUGGAAGUCUUGUUUUCCCUUUUGCGUUUUCCAGUGUGCUGUGUCCUACUGCGCUUUCAAUACUGAAGAUCAACAGGAACGCCCCUAACGCAUUGUAUGACUUAGCUUGGUGCUUUUAGAUCACGGAAGUGACCUGGGCCUGAUGGCAGCUCUUACAAGGUGGAAAGUGAAGGUUUCAGAUAAGUUCAAUCCAGCUUGUAUCAUGUCCAAAAGUGGGAAAAUUCAUGACAUGCCGCCUGGUUGUCUGAAUGGGCCCCAUUGCUGCCUCAGUUGAUUGGUCUUCAAUAGAGACGCAUCUACUUAGCAAUACGACUCUGCCACUACUUGUGGUAUGUAGAAGUUGCACUGCUGUGCUUUCACUGAGUGCAAAUCUCUUCUGGUGGAGACUUUUCAACUCAAAAUGUUAUGCUAAUUAUAAAGCAUAUUUUGUCUACGGGUAACAAAUGUCAGUGCUGUGAGGGUGGGUAUAGGGCUGUUUGUUUUUGAUCUUUCAGAAUUACAAAAGCCCAAAUGAAGACUGCCUUCUACCCGUGACAUGACCACAGGAAUCGCCCCUCCUUUGAACUCCUCUACACAGGCAGGACAGUUUGAACACCUUCAUUACAUUAGACCAUUUCUAGUUUGCUUUUGGCUCUCAGCUACCUGCACUUGUGCAACUGUGCAAGCAGUCUUGUAUCGUAGUAGCCUUUCAUUCCUCUUCAACUGUAUAGCAUAUUUGGUUUUCCUUUGUAGCUGUCGUGCAACUGUGACAGCGUUCCCAAAUUAAGGUAGCUGAGGAACACUGCGCAACUGUGCAGCUGUAAUUUGGACUGCAAUUGUUUUGCUUUUGGAUUGGUAGAUGAGGGUUGGGAGGAGAAUUCUGCACUUUUUCUCUACAGAAAUCUGAGUGCGUCUUGGUGAAGCACGAAUGAAGUCUUCUAACCUGCCGCACGUAGUAAGGUGUUGGUGUACCUUUUCAGUCUUCAUUUCAUAUCAAACUCCAGACCCCUGCCAUGUUUUAGUUUGGUUCAAUGGACAUCUUCAACUGGCUUCCUGUUAACCUCCUAUCGUUAAUAACCAUCAUCAAGCCAUGCUUUUACCAGCAUAUGCCCCUUUCUUUGGCUCAGAGCCCUACUGCUUUGCAUCUUUAAAGUAAGUUGAGUAAAAUGUAUGUUGUGAGUACUGUGGUGGUUUGUGUAGAAACCUUUGUUUCAGAUCAUUAUCUUGUAUCACUGUCCGCUGACUGCGCCUCCAUCUGAAUGUAACGCCGUCGCAGGAAACUCGACAAAUGAAUGUGGCCCCUGAAUGAAGUAUCUACCCUCUGCGCUUGAGCUUAGUCAAACCUCUCCACUCGACGGUCUUCAGUCUCUUCUCUCUCUGUGCUGUCUGUGCUCCUUUCCUUUCCCCCUUUUGGUUUCUCAGGUGACAAUUUCUCAUCCGACGUAAAAUUGUCAUGAAUUGGCAUUCGUUAUCUGCCUCUAACUGCGUGAUGGAACACUGAGAACCCAGUCACUUUCAGAUCAAGAGCCACAAGCUUGUCUUGCUGAAAAUUGAGCAUCACUUCAGUUUCUUGGUUACUAAGUUAAGUCAUUUUGGUUCCCUUUUGCUUUUGAACACACCAUGGCUAUGUUUUAACACAACCUUUUGACUCUGCAUGCAUAUCAGCUCUGCAUAACAUUUUGAAUUUCAAAAUGCGCAACAUAACUUUCAUAUAGUUAAUGUGUAAAAUAGGCACAUACCAGUAGGUGUUGGGAGGGUGGGGGCAACACUUUCUUCCUUCCUUUCAGGUAUCUCUUGAGUGAACUUGUCGUUACUGGGUGCUUGCAGCUGCAGGGAGUCACGGGAAGUGUCUUGGUUUGAUCCAGUUCUAGGAAGUUGAGAGCAUCAGUGUAGAGAAACUGGUUGGUUGUGGUUUGUACUGUUUCUGUCAGUCACAGUAAAUUACAUCUUAAAAUAUUUUCUAUUUCAGGGAUAUGUUUUGGGGGGGGGGUGUAAUUGUUCCUCUUUUGUCUUUACAGCUUCAAAUCUAAGAGCUCAAUCCUUGCAAGUUUGACUGACCUCUGGACCAAUGUCAGUGAUAAGAUCUACACUUACGUUGUGAAUUUGUCUUACUGUUAUCAUGGAUGAAAUGUAGUAAUGUGGAAUUGCUCUAAUGGCAUUAAGUGUCUUCCUGGGGUUUGCUGGGGAUGGGGGGAAACAAGUUGUCUUUUCCUCUAGUUUCAGGCUUGCGACGAUGCUAAAGUCCUCAGGUUCGUGUAGAGCAGCAGGUGCUAAGGGUUUUUCUUUUCCUGGGGGAACAAACCCUCUGGUUUUUGUUCUUCCAGGUUUUGCUUUUUGUCCUUGCGCAAAAAAAGCAAAAGACUCCGGUGGUGGCACUCCUGAUAGUCCUCAGGACGGGGUUCAAUUCCCUGCGGCGUCUUUGCUUUUCUCAACCUGCUGCUUAGUUGGGUAAGCUAGUUAAAACAGGAACCUAGGUAGUUAAAAUAAUUUAUAGGGUCAUAUUGCGAUUUUUAAAUGACGCGAGCAGAGCUCAGCUUCUUAUUAGCUAGCUAACAUUAGCUUUAUUAUAUCUAUAUAGUGUUAGGUGUACUGUUUUGAAAUAACAUUCUUUAUAUUGAUUUGAUUGUAUACAUAGUCUUAGCAAGCUCUUUGGCAGCAAGCUAAGCAUUUUUAGCUAUAAUAUUUAGCUAGCUUGCUUUGCAAAUGUUAGCCUAGUUAGCUAGCUAGCAUCAAGUGUUGGUGAUAGAAAAAUGGCCGUAGAAGCAACUCGAGCUUAGUUUAGAAGACUUGACUUUUCAAUUCAUUUUGAGGCACCUGUAGAACAAGGAGCUAGUUAGCAAAGAUUUUUUCUGUGCCCUUGGUGUACAACAAACUCCCUCACGACGCCAGGACAGCGGAGUCAAUCAUCACCUUCCAGAGACACCUGAAACCCCACCUCUUUAAGGAAUACCUGGGAUAGGUAUAUAGAUGUACUAUUGUAAAGUGGUUGUUCCACUGGAUAUCAUAAGGUGAAUGCACCAAUUUGUAAGUCGCUCUGGAUAAGAGCGUCUGCUAAAUGACGUAAAUGUACAUCAUUGAAGUGUAUCGUCUUAAAUUGACAGUUGCCAUAGUUAUUGAGGCUUUUUAGUAUGCGCCCCUUGUGGGAACACAACCAAAUAUUAACUGUUCCAAAAAUGUUUCUACUUAGGCUUGCUUGCCAACCCAUAAAUGUUAGUUAGAAGAAACUGGUUUCUAAUGGAAUUUAUUUUGUUUAGUCUAUUGGUUGAGACAUGACUUGUAGUUCAGGAGAUGAGUUUAAUUUACUUUAAGUUAUGAAUAAAAUCUAUGAACUGUA